GGGCCCGCACAAGCGGUGGAGCAUGUGGUUUAAUUCGAUGAUACGCGAGGAACCUUACCAGGGCUUAAAUGUAGUAUGACCGGUCUAGAAAUAGACCUUCUCUUCGGAGCAGAUUACAAGGUGCUGCAUGGUUGUCGUCAGCUCGUGCCGUGAGGUGUUAGGUUAAGUCCUGCAACGAGCGCAACCCCUAUUCUUAGUUGCCAGCGGUUCGGCCGGGGACUCUAAGAAGACUGCCAGCGCAAGCUGAGAGGAAGGUGGGAUGACGUCAAUCAUCACGGCCUUACGUCCUGGGCUACACACGUGCUACAAUGGUACAGACAGAGGGCAGCAAGAUCGCGAGAUGGAGCC
This 348-nucleotide ribosomal RNA is filed under the name uncultured bacterium. RNAcentral describes it as "bacterial SSU rRNA". It matches the Rfam family "Bacterial small subunit ribosomal RNA", at positions 917 to 1269 of the family's 1533-position model. The record is from RNAcentral.